CGGAAACGCCGGACGAAAAACCGGUAAAUAGAAUAUUAUUUUAUGCGCGCGACGGGCCGUUCCGUGUAAUAAUUAUUAUUGUGCGCGGCGAUAUCGUAGAAUUAUUGCGGCGGUCGCGGUACAGUGACGGCGGCGGCGGGAGAAAGUGCCGGAGUGAGAAAGAGAGGGAGCGAGAGAGAAACAGCGUGAGAGAGCGCCGGUGAGAGAGCUAGUGUCGCGGCGUACGG
Non-coding RNA from Cinara cedri, 227 nucleotides. The record is from the annotation of a GenBank genome assembly. NCBI's taxonomy places the organism in Eukaryota, Metazoa, Arthropoda, Insecta, Hemiptera, Aphididae.